Molecule: long non-coding RNA, 364 nt
Organism: Zingiber officinale
Lineage: Eukaryota; Viridiplantae; Streptophyta; Magnoliopsida; Zingiberales; Zingiberaceae
Exons: 3
Source: RefSeq, a predicted model, not a curated record
AUGACUACCAUGGAUCAGAAGUGGGAGAAGAAGUGGGCUGCACAGGAGCAAGCAUUGGCCCAGAUGCAAGCAAUCAUUGCACGAUGGGACCCAUCACAGCAGCCCCAGUCAGAGGAGACCCCAGACCCAUCAGACCCAGACCCUGCUGAUGAUUAGAUUUUGUUGAGGAGUUCAUACUGAUACAUUCACCAUCACCACUAUUAUUGGUUAUCAAAAUAUAAUCCAGGAUUAUAUUCGGAUAUAUGUAUAAGUGAUGUAUCAUGAUAUGUAUUUUGGAUAUUUUGUAUUUGUCGUUCACUUGUAUACUUUUAGAUACUUUUGAUUGUGAGAACUUGAUACUUAGAUUUUAUUAUAGUUUGGAGAU